This 556-nucleotide long non-coding RNA is filed under the name Bemisia tabaci. Its description in RNAcentral is "lncRNA ENSSSA1NGG001933". The record is from RNAcentral. Lineage: Eukaryota; Metazoa; Arthropoda; Insecta; Hemiptera; Aleyrodidae.
AACUUAUCGCUCUAUUUCUCGUGAAAGGCUACUGUAAUAGCCGAGGUAUUCAAAAGAAUCCUGCAUUGAUGGUAUGCAUGCAAGGAAACCUCAACGGAUCAGCGAUGGGUGAGCAAUUUCGUUUAUCUUAGAACCGUACUUGACAACUUCAAUUCGCCAUAUUUAGCGCAUUUUCGAUCGAAUGCUUUCCUCGCCGACAAUUAAUCCGCCUUUGUUUCUUUCUGUUCUCAGGUAUUUCGAGAAACACCAAGCCCAUCCGUAUCAGAAUUCCAAGUAUAGCUCAUCAAAGGAUAAGUAUGCAGAUAAGUUCAAUCAUGAAAGGAUGCGGGAUUCUCCAAACGGGAACACGUAUCGAUCUGUUAGUCCCGAAUCACAAAGUCCGUAUAGCAAAAAUGCAUAUGUUUCGAAAACGCGAGAAAAGGAGAGGAAACAGAGACUUCAAAUCUCGGGACAAAUAUUCAGGUGAGAAUCCAAUUGGAUGCCAGACCAAUCCUAGUAUGACAAAUUUUUACUGUAGCUUACAGGACUUGAGUCUUAGCUCACAGCCUAACUAGAG